This is a non-coding RNA of Callithrix jacchus (white-tufted-ear marmoset), 1036 nucleotides long. Lineage: Eukaryota; Metazoa; Chordata; Mammalia; Primates; Cebidae. The record is from RefSeq and is a predicted model, not a curated record.
AUGGCGUUGCAGGUGUCCACUAAGUUUGAAAAUCUUUUAUCUCCUGAAACAAAUGCCCAGGGAAGAUCUAAGCAAGAGGAGAGGUCUUCUGGAGAGAGCAAUAGAGUGAAAGGCAGAAGAUGUUGCUUCCAGAGCCUGACAAACUGCUAUCUGUGUGAUGUGGAGAGAGACACAGCAAGCAGGACUGAAAACGGUUUCAUUCUGUCAUCCAAGCAUGAGUGUGGGGGCGCAGUCUCGGCUCACUGCAGCCUCAACCUCCCAGGCUCAAGUGAUCCUCCCACCUCAGCCUCCCAAGCAACUGGGACUACAGCAACAUGGAGAAGGCAUCAAGAACGUACUUCAUUCACCCGCGAACAGUAUGAAGAGCUAGAAGCUCUGUUUAGCGAGACCAGGUUCCCAGAUAGAAAUCGUCAGGAGAAACUAGCUUUGCAACUCGACCUACCGGAGUCAACAGUAAAGGUUUGGUUCAGGAACCGGCGAUUCGAACAGAAAAAGCAGCAGCAGCAGCAAUCAACAAUGCUACCAACCAGAUCCUUCUAUCCAAGAAGGAUGUGCCCACCUUCCUAAGAACAGCUAUCAUUCUUAUGCUUUUUCUUCUGUGGUUUCGGAUUUCUGCAGCUCCCUUCCACCUCAGCCCUUAGGCCCUUCCAAUUGGGCAUGGAACUCUACCUUCACUGAGAGUCCCACAAGUGAUUUCCAAAUGCAAGAUACUCAGUGGAAGAAGCUGGUAGCCUCAGUUCCUGCUUUGCACUCUGAUGCCUAUGACAUAUCCCAAGUCAUAGAACUGUAUGAUCUUCCUGAUGAGAAUGAGAUAUCCAGCUCUUCUUUCUACUGUCUGUAUCAGUAUCUCUUACCCACAAAGCACCAGGUAGGAGGACAGGGUUCCUCUCUCAGUAUCUUUGCUGGUCCAGCUGUAGGUCUAUCUCCCAUACAAACCUGGCCCAGUAUGACAAGCCAAGGCUUUGAAGCCUACAGUCUAACAGACAGCCUAGAAUUCUAGAAAACCUCCAAUAUGGUAGCCUUUGGAUUUCUCUGA